RNAcentral lists this ribosomal RNA (736 nucleotides) under Shigella sonnei. Its description in RNAcentral is "partial 23S ribosomal RNA". It matches the Rfam family "Bacterial large subunit ribosomal RNA", at positions 474 to 1211 of the family's 2925-position model. Lineage: Bacteria; Pseudomonadati; Pseudomonadota; Gammaproteobacteria; Enterobacterales; Enterobacteriaceae. The record is from RNAcentral.
UCCUGACUGACCGAUAGUGAACCAGUACCGUGAGGGAAAGGCGAAAAGAACCCCGGCGAGGGGAGUGAAAAAGAACCUGAAACCGUGUACGUACAAGCAGUGGGAGCACGCUUAGGCGUGUGACUGCGUACCUUUUGUAUAAUGGGUCAGCGACUUAUAUUCUGUAGCAAGGUUAACCGAAUAGGGGAGCCGAAGGGAAACCGAGUCUUAACUGGGCGUUAAGUUGCAGGGUAUAGACCCGAAACCCGGUGAUCUAGCCAUGGGCAGGUUGAAGGUUGGGUAACACUAACUGGAGGACCGAACCGACUAAUGUUGAAAAAUUAGCGGAUGACUUGUGGCUGGGGGUGAAAGGCCAAUCAAACCGGGAGAUAGCUGGUUCUCCCCGAAAGCUAUUUAGGUAGCGCCUCGUGAAUUCAUCUCCGGGGGUAGAGCACUGUUUCGGCAAGGGGGUCAUCCCGACUUACCGACCCGAUGCAAACUGCGAAUACCGGAGAAUGUUAUCACGGGAGACACACGGCGGGUGCUAACGUCCGUCGUGAAGAGGGAAACAACCCAGACCGCCAGCUAAGGUCCCAAAGUCAUGGUUAAGUGGGAAACGAUGUGGGAAGGCCCAGACAGCCAGGAUGUUGGCUUAGAAGCAGCCAUCAUUUAAAGAAAGCGUAAUAGCUCACUGGUCGAGUCGGCCUGCGCGGAAGAUGUAACGGGGCUAAACCAUGCACCGAAGCUGCGGCAGCGA